AUUGAACGCUGGCGGCAUGCUUUACACAUGCAAGUCGAACGGUAACAGGCCGCAAGGUGCUGACGAGUGGCGAACGGGUGAGUAAUGCAUUGGAACGUGCCCAGUCGUGGGGGAUAACUACUCGAAAGAGUAGCUAAUACCGCAUACGAUCUAUGGAUGAAAGCGGGGGACCGUAAGGCCUCGCGCGAUUGGAGCGGCCGAUGUCAGAUUAGGUAGUUGGUGGGGUAAAGGCUCACCAAGCCAACGAUCUGUAGCUGGUCUGAGAGGACGACCAGCCACACUGGGACUGAGACACGGCCCAGACUCCUACGGGAGGCAGCAGUGGGGAAUUUUGGACAAUGGGCGCAAGCCUGAUCCAGCAAUGCCGCGUGCAGGAAGAAGGCCUUCGGGUUGUAAACUGCUUUUGUACGGAACGAAACGGCUCUGGUUAAUACCCGGGGCUAAUGACGGUACCGUAAGAAUAAGCACCGGCUAACUACGUG
RNAcentral lists this ribosomal RNA (482 nucleotides) under uncultured bacterium. RNAcentral describes it as "partial 16S ribosomal RNA". It matches the Rfam family "Bacterial small subunit ribosomal RNA", at positions 30 to 507 of the family's 1533-position model. The record is from RNAcentral.